This is a long non-coding RNA of Scophthalmus maximus (turbot), 1384 nucleotides long. RefSeq lists it as uncharacterized. Lineage: Eukaryota; Metazoa; Chordata; Actinopteri; Pleuronectiformes; Scophthalmidae. The record is from RefSeq and is a predicted model, not a curated record. The transcript is spliced from 5 exons.
UGCAACGGGAUAAUGAUGAACACAUUAACGAAGUGGCUCGGUUAUUUACCGAGCGUGUGCCUGUGUCCAGGGGUUGCAAUUAAAAACGGUUCGCACUCACAAGCCUGAGUCCUAAUGACCUAACAUCUCAGACACCUACCAAAAAAAAAAGGCUCAUUAUCUGUUUAGUCGGCCGGGUGUGUUUGUCAUCAGUGGAGUGACUUGCUCUGAGUAAUGCCUCCUGUGGAAUAAAUACAGUCAACACUUAGUAACGAGAAAUAGAACAUGUUCUAUUUUACAUACUGGAGUUGAAAUUAUUACCUAAGUUUUACAUUUAACUAUAUGAAGAAUGUCACAAAAAUAUGCCCAUUCAGUUCCAUUUAUUAUGCUGCUUAUUAUGCUGCUUGAUGUAUAUUUUUGGGGGAAAAUUUCAUCCAAUAAGACGCGUGUAAAUAUCUUCCAUUCCCUCAUUUUGAUAUUUUUCAACUUCAAUUUACACUAUUUGUUUUUCUUUUUUUGUCGUUCUUCCGCUGGUUCUACCCUCAGCUCCUUUCUGAUAUCUUCUCUUUAUCAUUUGUCCAGUUGCCCUUCCCCAUUAAGAGCAGUUUUUGCCAAAGGCCAGGACCCUGUGUCCAUUGAUUGUGUUGAGGAUCAAGUCACAUCAUGGGUGACCUUUGAUCCCACGGUCCACUCUGGCUCUUGGCCUCAGUGUGCAGCUGUGGUCAGAGUUGGCAUUCCUCCCCUGUAUAGGUCAGAGCACCAUUAGCCUCCACUGUAAAGAAUGGACGACCGUUUGUGAAGGCUCACCAACUGACAGUGACAAUCUACAUGAGAAACAAGUUAACCGGACAAGUGUUGGCUGAGCCCCAAAACAGCUACUGAAGAGCAGCAGCCGAGACGGGGACUGAGAGCAGAGGAUCCUGACAUUUCAUACAUGAUUGCAGAGAUUUACGUGAGGGACACACACCAUGCUGGACUGUAUCCUGUGUGGACCUGGAAAUCAAAGAUUCUGAGGGCGGGUCUGGGAAACAUUCUCUGCACAUCAUUUGUAGGAACCAAAAAUCUGCUGUCGCGCAUUCAUCUUCAUAACCUGCUCAAUAAAAGAGAAUUUUGGUCUUCUGACUCUGAAAGCACUUUGGCGUCCCUGCCGCUCCUUGCUGCAUUCGAGCAACGCCGACACUUGAUGGGAGGUCAGAGUGCUGUGAUGGCAGUCGACCUCCAGUCCAACAGCCCCUCAGCUGGUUACUCACAUGCCCACAUUCAUCACUGACAGGAAAAUUGCCCCAGUCUGCCCUCCUCAGGUGAACAGGGUUUAGGGAUUCUGUCACUGCACCAAAGCAGAGUAGGUCAGAAACUGAGACACACACACACACAAACACACACACACACGCGCACACGCACACAC